UGAGAGUCGCUGCAAAAAAAAAAAAGAGAAAAGUGUGAAGCCUUCCAAAUCAGUGUUAAUGCGAGCACUUGGGUCUGAGGACCAAUGUUACUGUAAAAAAAUGUGUUCCCUAGGAGAGCAGCAGACACACCCGGAGCUCUGUGGAAAUCAUAUGAGCUUAGCAUCAGAGUAAAGUUUGAAAAACCUCUGAGUCAUGAGCUUGUUUUUCCUUUUUUUUUUUUUACACUUACAUGUUCGCACAUUCACACAGUCUCUACCUCGUGUCUGAAAAAUGUUGUCUGGAGUUGAACAUGAAAGUUUUCAGCGCUGGUAAAAGCUCAGCCAACUGGAAAAAACGACCCAGGUCACAGUGACGACUGCAACGCCGAAAAAAGAGCUGAAAGGUGAAAACGCUCUAAACUGAAGCCGAACUGCGUAUGUGUGCAUGAGUGUGUGUCUCGGUCCCUUGGUGCAAUGCUUCAAGGCUAAAACAUCAAUUACUCGUGAUGAAAAGGUACAGUGGGGUUUGGUGGGGGGUCGGAGACAAAAUGCAGAGCUAAGGUCAAAGGCGGUCAGCUGGAAUGUGUCGCGGUGCCGCCCUGAGGCCUGGCUCUGCAGGACGUGUCCAUCCUUAACUCUUCCCAUCAGCCCCAUCAGCACAGGUGCAGGCAUCAGCCCUGAAGGACCGUCCCCGGUUCUAGGAGCAUUGGAAGACUCUGCAAGUGUCUGUCUGUGUGCGUGUGAUUCCCCAGUCGCAUGAGAACAGGAUGUGCGAGUUGUGUGGGCUUCAGGAGACACAGGGUCACUGAGUGUUUGUUUGUGUGUAUCUGCAGUGUCAGGGCUGCUGUGAGAGUGUGUUGCGUGACAGCCUGAAGGAGAUGUAUGUGUGUUUGUGUCUCCGUCCAGGGUUAUGCAGGGACGUUGUGUGUAAUUUUUGGUGCCUUUUUCUGCCAAAGAGUCUGAGGCAUUUAUGGCAAACGUUGGACGGAGUGAGGAAACUGCAGAUUUGUGGCGUGUUUACCUUUUCUGGUUUUAAUUAGUCAGUUGGAAGAAGCAGCACCGUUAGAUUACAACAAAUUAGAAAGCAUUAGUAAAUGCCACUGCAGUUUAAUUUCUUGGUUUGUCUAUAGUUUACUUUUUAAUUAGUAAGCUUGUUUCUAAAUAGGCUUAAAAAAUUGUCUGCAUUGACAGAUUGUGAUCCCUUGUUACAAUCUGAAGGAAUUAGAAACGUUUUCAGCCAUAAACAGUAAAUUUCAUUUAAUUUGUGUAGAAAAAAAAAUAAGGAAAAACAACCGAAACAAAAAGUCUUUGCCCAAACUUUUCGCUUAAUUCUGUCCCUGACUGUUAAUUGUCGAGUGACCUCAGCUAUUUUUGCCUCUGGAUUUGGGAUAACUGCUGAAUAGAUAGAAGUGAAACUGGACGAGCAAAACUGAUCCAAGAAAAAGAAAUCUGCACUCAAACUCAGACAGUCGGCUUUAUUUUAUGUUGACACAUGCCUGUAAAAGCAGAAGCAUCUGCCAUAAAAUGUCUUUCUUCCUUCUAGAGCUGAGCAACAUGGCUUCGCUAAUAUUGCAAUACUUAAUACAUAUACUGGUAUUUUGAAAUCUCCUCUGAAUCUCUAUAUAAAUGUUAAAUGUAACCCUUUGAUGCAUGCCAAGAGAGAAGGUGAUUUAAGCGCAACCUUCUAGUGGAUUUGUCUUCAUUUCCAAUCAAAAAAGGGGAAAACUAACCCGCAAUUAAGUGAAAUUGAUCAAACUUUCCAUUUCAAACCACACAGGUGCACUCAUAGAAAUAAAUAAUUGCACGCUAUUAAUGGCAAGACCCUCAACUAAAACAAAAGAGUGAAUUAAGCAAGAAUCCUUGAACAAGGCGCUUUUAAACCACAGCAAUUAUAAUUAAAUUUUUGCUUGAUCAAGAUUAUAACAACAGAUAAUUUAAACAUGGUUAAAUUUCUCUUUUGUCCUCAGUAAAAAAAUGUAUUUUUACUGAUUUUUCAUGCCAUUUCACUGUAUGAAGAUAUAGGAUGUGCAAUGGAGCUGGGUGUACAUAAUAGAAAAAGGGUGAGCUUUAAUAAUGUCGAUUCAUUUGGUGAGAAAGGAAGUAUUUUAUCCUUCCUCUAUACUGAAGAAGACACAAGUUAUUGUGAUCAAUUUGUCAUUUACAGAAAUUAAUCUGUUUUAAUGCUUUGUAUCUUUUCUUUGAACGCACAUCCUGGUAUAAUACUUGAUCAGUGUCUCCACAUGCUGUUAAUAACAGAGGGAGGGCUGAACACCGAGCAGUGUGUUAAUGAAGGGCAAUUAUGAGACAUGACCUUGAUUUGUGUGUUAAUGACCUUGAUUUUUAGUUCAACAAUAAACCACUUAAGUGCCACAUCAGGAACAGCGGACUUCAUAUUAUCAAACAAAAGUUUCGUUAAUUGUUAAUUAAAAAUAAUGAAAUGAUGAAAACUAGAAUUGAAAAAAAAAACAUUUUGUUAACUGAAGUAAACUAUAAUUAAAGGAAAAAAAACAAUAAUUAACUGGAACUGUAUUGUGUGUUUACAAAACUAACUAAAAUGUAUAAAAAUUUCAGAUAAUUAUAUUUCGUUUUGUUCAAUUUCGGAUUGAUAUGAAAUUGAUCUAUUUUACUCAAGCAAUUUUACGUGAGCUAGCAGCGCCGUAAGACACCUCACAGUUCAUCUCUUCUUGUUUACAAACUAAUAAAAACUAAACUAAAACUAAUUAAUUAGAAGAAAUAAAAACAUAAAAACAAAAACAAACGCUCUAAAACUAAUUAAAACUAACCGAAUUAGAAAAAAAAAAAGUAAAAACAAAAUAAACUAAACUAAAACUAAUCACUUAGAAAAACAAAACCUAACAAAAAUCUGCUCUAAAAACUAAUUAAAACUAACCGAAUUAGAGGGGGGGAAAAAAAGUAAAAACACAAUAAAACUAAACUUUAAUAAAAAAAUCCAAAACUAUUAUAACCCUUUCUAUGACUUGAUCACUUCAGUUUGUGAUCACACCACUGAUGCAGACUGUGUUUGAGGGAGCAGCCUUCAGCUUGUGUGGGCAGAAUAAUCAUGGCUAUAUGUUUUGUAAGGUGUAAUGAAGGUAGACAGGUACCAUGAUAAUUUGCAUCUGAUUUGGGAAAAUGAGAUCCAAUCAGGAUUGGUCACUGAGGACCCAUGGUCGAUACUAAAUCUGCUUAAAGCUGGCCUCUUGGAUAUCCUGAUCACCGAAAACCACAUGCUGCAACAUAUGAGCCACCUCUCUGAGCACUCAGAGAAAUGCCUCCACUUUUUUCUCUCCUGUGUCCUCACCCCUCUUCUCCUAAUGGAAAAACAUGCAUGAUGAUACACUAUGGGAGGGGGAGAGUACUGCCUGCUGGAAGAGAGUAAGAGAGGAGAAAUGCAAGCUAAUGGCUUAAAACUCUCAAUAUGUAGUUUGUACCCUAUAGUUGAAGUAGUUUACAUCAGGUACAUGUUCAUAUUUCAUAGGUUUUUCACACACUUCUACUUUCUUCCUAUCCGACCUGCUGAGAAUGACCACGUAAUAUCAUUUCUACAUAUAAAAUGAUAUUAUAGAUAGCCACUGGCAUGUGUAACUAAAAAGAAAGGAAGGGAAAAAACAAUCUCUUAAGAGGGUGCAGAGGGAGCAACUGCAUUUAAUUUGUUGGAACACAAAGAGAAAGUCUUUCAUUACUGCAUGAGUCACCUUGAUUUCUAUAUAUUUAUUUUGUUGUUAUCAGGACAAACAGCUAGAGGCUUGUUUGGAUGAGGCCAGUUUUGUCUGCACUUCCCCUGAUAAAGAAUACAAAUAUUGUGAGUUUUACUCUAAAAGCAUACCAAGUAGUUCCUCUUGCACAGUGACCAUAAUUUUUUAUACUUUUUCCAAAAACUUUUUAUUAAAAACUUUAAACUUCUCAAUAUUCAGGAGUUGUUACAGGCUCUAGUGUCCAAACUGAGAGGAAGGGAUAGGAGGGCAAGUUUUGUGUAAACGUUGGAGAGACUUCAAAGAGUUCAUUGCAUCAAAUAGGCGAUGACUCUGCGUUUGGAAAAAAUCGGACCAGUGGAUGGACGUAGGCUUCACCCCUCUAUGCCUCAAGAUCUCAGACGAAAUACUCAAAAUCCUCAGCUUACCAUGAGCUUUCUCUUCAGUGCACAUAUCCAUUAUGAUAGCUAUUUUUGAGCACUGUUAGAUUCAAUGUAUGCACCGGUACACACGCUUCUUAACAGAUAGCUGCACAGGGACGGUCAGCGCUGCGGUGCAAAGAGGCGAAAAGCAGAAUCUUUUGCAGCACAGGGGUGACGACCGAAAUAAAAAUAGAAGAUAGACGUUUUCAGAGUUCAAGUGGAGAUGACCGGGUUGAGAGCGUCCAGUGAGACUCAUGGCCUUUGAUGUGCUUUUGUCUCGGCUGCAGCUACUUUUCUGUCGAGCUUUGGAUUCACAGAUGAAUGUCCUGUUUGAACUAGUUUUAACUAUCCAAGGCAAUUUAAAACAUAAGGAGCAAAACAAACAGAGAAAUCUACUUAGCGGUGCCCUUAAAGGAAGUGCAGACAAUGGUCUUAUUGCUUCAAACUAAUCUACGAAGAAUUAAUGUGCUUACAUUCCACUGAGUAAUUUUUUUGGGGGAUAAUUUGUAGACUUGAUUUUGGUUUUCUUUUACUUUCUUAUUUAACUGAAAAACUGAAGCUCGCGCAGAAGAGCGCUGCCAGGGUAGCCCUUGGUUGUUCUUAUAGAGCGAAUGUGAAUGAGAUGUACACCACCUUAGGGUGGUUAAAGGUACAGAACGAGCUAAAUAUAAAUAUUCUCUAGCCUGGCUGGGCCAUCCUGUUGUGUGAAUCACUUGCCGUUCCUUCACACAACAGUCUGGACUUCGGCCCACUGGGAGCGUGUAUUAGCGAUCAGAAAAUAACCGGGCUAAUCAGUGACUGGGUUUCCACUGUUUUCCCCGGACAACAGGGAAAGGCAGCACCUGAUUGGUCCAUGUGUAGAUGGUGACGGCUAACACAUGCUGCGGGACUUUUCAAAGCGCCGUUCAUUCAGAACGCCGUUAAUUCUGCAGUUGACUUUGCAAAAUCGGCAGAAAUCGUUUAUAUCCGCAGAAGACGUCAGAUAUAAACAAGCACCGAAAACACAGCAAAUGAGCAGUAGGUAUUAUUUUAAAAGGACUUUCAAACAAAACUGUAUGUAUGAAUCAGCAUAGAUUUUGGAGUGAUUUUAAUGUUUUAAUGUUGUGAAGACUCAUGAAUUGAAUCUGUAAUUGUAUUUAUUAUUAAUUAAUUGUGAAACUGUGAUUGCAUUGUGAUUUUAAGUUUUUGGACCCCAGGAAGAUUAGCAACCACUUUGUGGAAGCUAAUGGGGUUCCAAACAAAUCAAAAACAAAGGGCCGAAGGGGGGGCGGGGCGCACUCCGCUGACUAGUGGCCUGCUGGACGGCCGGGGGCAGCCCUGCUGGACUGUGUCCCAGGUGUGGGAAAGCUGGUAGGCUCCUUCAUCCUGGUUUACAGUCAUAGGGGCCCGCUUCCUGAUUUCGACCGCCUCUUUGAUCCACCGAUGGAACUUGUUGCUUUCCGAUCUGAUGACCUUGGCUGCAUCCCAAUUCAUGAGCUGGUUUUCUCUCUUGCAGUGGUCUGAUUUUCAGAUUUUCCUACAUUGCUUUCUUUCUUGUUGAGCGUCCCAGAUGUUUCCUUUUCACAUUCAAAUUUAUCAUCGACAGGCCAAAUGAACCUCUUUAGUGCUUUUUCUCUUCUUUUUGCUAUUUUAGACAUUAUCUUACGCUCCAGGAAACAAAGGCAGACAUUUUCCACAUUCUAAUUUUUUGAGAAAAUAAUCAGUUUGUUAAUCAAUAAUGAGAAAUGGGUUCUAUCUGACACCUCGGAGCAACUCAAGACUAGUUGAAUUUUCUUUCCUGUGGUUGUUUUCAUGUUCCCAUCUCUAAUGUGCAGCCAGUAAAGUAUCUGUAUGUCUAGGUGUGGUGGGGUGAAUGCAUUUCUGUGUAUGUUUGUGCAAACCAUAUGGUGACAUUUGCGUUAGUCAUUAUUCACACUGACUUCCCGUAAGCCCCUGCAGAACCGCGGCACUUUGUACUCUGUGGCAUUGCACUACAAUAUUUAUGAAUGCUUCACAUGCUUCAGACACCAGAUUGCAGAGUGAUUCAUUCACUGCAGAGAAACACAUAUUCACAUAUUGUGCAUGUUUACUUGAAGGGCAUGCAUCUCAUUGAUAGACAAAAACAGGAUGUGCUUGAGGCCAGAGAGACUGUCGAACACACUAUUUCAUUUCCUUAUCCAUACAGUCUUUAACAAUGUAAAUUAGAAUGUAAACAUUCACAGAGGGAAGUUUAGAUCUUUGAAGAUCCCCCUCAGAUAUAUGCUCAGCGUGUCAACAAUGUGCAGACAGAGGAAGAGAUCUCUAUCUUAAUAUAAAAAUGUCACCAGUUCCACCAGUAUUCCUCCAUUUAUGACAAAACUUUAGCUGAAAACAUUAGCGUCGUGUCUCUGCUCCGUCGAACCGUUGUCUACCGCUCACAGGAUGCGUAUUUGGAGCGUGACUUUGUUGAUUAUAACAAAUAACAGCCCAGGUUACUAAGUGAAGUAUCAGCUACUAAACUCAAUCACAUGGAGCAUUGUCAUACCUUUACAAGCAGUUUUGGCUUCAGUAGCGUGAUGGUGACGGAUCUGACCUUAGUGACAGAUCAAACCUCUCAAGGUCAUGAUCAGAGCACCACCUGAUCCAAAGCCUAAACACCAGCUGGUCACCGGCUCCGUAUUUUUAGCUUGUACUGAUGUUAAAAUGGAAAAAAAACCCACACCAGUCGCACACUGUGUCAGCUUCAACUUGUUAUUGUUUAUUUAUAUGAUCAUUAUAUCUUUAUUUUGAGCUUGUAGCUUGCAAGAACAUUGUAAAAAGUCACUCAAGCUGCUUUUUCAUCACCUCAGACACAUUUAUUGUCAUUAACAUGCAAUGUUGGAGUGACGGACUGUCAGUGUGAGCGGCACUUUGCACUUUCUCUGCCCCCUCAGAUCUUUGGGUGUUCACUAAUCAGCUUGUUUGAAUUUAAAAGGAUUGAAAAAUUAUCCCCAUCCUAGAAAAGGUUCUUACCCUUCACCCAAAAGUUAAAGGAAGCACUUAUUUUUGAUUUGAGGAAUAAGGACACGAGUUUAAGUCAUCUCGAACCGUGCUCUGUGAUUUUUCCACUGUUUAAAAAAUCCUCUAAGACAUAUUUUAUUCAUUAUUCCUAAGAAAAUCAUAAAGAUAACCAGGUGGUAACAAUACAUUGAUUGUUGUUAGCUUUUCUAAUGAAAGCCUAAAUACCUCCUCCUAAAUAUAAAUUAACUGCAGUCACUGGGAUCACAAAUUCACGUCUGGAAGAGUCGGGCUCAAACUGAAAUCUAUAGCUUUUCCCUCAGCUAAUUAUUGAGAGAACAAAUCCCAA
This is a non-coding RNA of Xyrichtys novacula (pearly razorfish), 7397 nucleotides long. Lineage: Eukaryota; Metazoa; Chordata; Actinopteri; Labriformes; Labridae. The record is from the annotation of a GenBank genome assembly.